Molecule: ribosomal RNA, 1298 nt
Filed under: metagenome
Description: bacterial LSU rRNA
Rfam family: Bacterial large subunit ribosomal RNA
Source: RNAcentral
CGACCGUACCGCAAACCGACACUGGUGCGCGAGAUGAGUAUUCUCAGGCGCUUGAGAGAACUCGGGAGAAGGAACUUGGCAAAUUGACACCGUAACUUCGGAAGAAGGUGUGCCUUUAGUAGGUGAAGUCCCUCGCGGAUGGAGCCCAAUGAGGUUGCAAAGAAUCGGUGGCUGCGACUGUUUAAUAAAAACACAGCACUCUGCAAACACGAAAGUGGACGUAUAGGGUGUGACGCCUGCCCGGUGCUGGAAGAUUAAGUGAUGGGGUGCAAGCUCUUGAUCGAAGUCCCAGUAAACGGCGGCCGUAACGAUAACGGUCCUAAGGUAGCGAAAUUCCUUGUCGGGUAAGUUCCGACCUGCACGAAUGGCGUAACGAUGGCCACACUGUCUCCUCCCGAGACUCAGCGAAGUUGAAAUGUUUGUGAUGAUGCAAUCUCCCCGCGGAAAGACGGAAAGACCCCAUGAACCUUUACUGUAGCUUUGUAUUGGACUUUGAACGGAUCUGUGUAGGAUAGGUGGGAGGCUUUGAAGCCGGGUCGCUAGAUCUGGUGGAGCCAACGUUGAAAUACCACCCUGGUGCGUUUGAGGUUCUAACCUAGGCCCGUUAUCCGGGCCGGGGACAGUGCAUGGUAGGCAGUUUGACUGGGGCGGUCUCCUCCCAAAGCGUAACGGAGGAGUUCGAAGGUACGCUAGUUACGGUCGGACAUCGUGACGAUAGUGCAAUGGCAUAAGCGUGCUUAACUGCGAGACUGACAAGUCGAGCAGAUGCGAAAGCAGGACAUAGUGAUCCGGUGGUUCUGUAUGGAAGGGCCAUCGCUCAACGGAUAAAAGGUACUCUGGGGAUAACAGGCUGAUACCGCCCAAGAGUUCAUAUCGACGGCGGUGUUUGGCACCUCGAUGUCGGCUCAUCUCAUCCUGGGGCUGUAGCCGGUCCCAAGGGUAUGGCUGUUCGCCAUUUAAAGAGGUACGUGAGCUGGGUUUAAAACGUCGUGAGACAGUUUGGUCCCUAUCUUCCGUGGGCGCUGCAGAUUUGAGGAAGCCUGCUCCUAGUACGAGAGGACCGGAGUGGACGCACCUCUGGUGUACCUGUUGUCACGCCAGUGGCAUUGCAGGGUAGCUAAGUGCGGAAGAGAUAACCGCUGAAAGCAUCUAAGCGGGAAACUCGUUUCAAGAUGAGAUCUGCCGGGGCCUUGAGCCCCCUGAAGAGUCGUUCUAGACCAGGACGUUGAUAGGUCAGGUGUGGAAGCGCAGUAAUGCGUUAAGCUAACUGAUACUAAUUGCUCGUGCGGCUUGACCUA